AGGUAGGGUGGCCGAGUAGGCGGCGAGUUGUAGCUUCGUGCACGGGCUAAUAAGCCCCCCUGUCAA
RNAcentral lists this transfer RNA (66 nucleotides) under Cyrtodactylus philippinicus. RNAcentral's name for it is "tRNA-Tyr". Lineage: Eukaryota; Metazoa; Chordata; Lepidosauria; Squamata; Gekkonidae. The record is from RNAcentral.